Molecule: non-coding RNA, 615 nt
Organism: Pelobates cultripes (western spadefoot toad)
Lineage: Eukaryota; Metazoa; Chordata; Amphibia; Anura; Pelobatidae
Source: the annotation of a GenBank genome assembly
CCUGGUAGUCUAUAGUGUCCUUUUAAACUAUUUUUAAAAAUUAUGUUUUAAUGCUAAACAAGAGUCUACAGCCCAUCCCCUCUGUGCUGCUUGGUCAAAUGAGGAAGACUGAGCAGCAGUUGGAAGCUCUGAUUGGCUAAAAGUGUCAGCUAACUACCUUCUGCCCGUAUGAAUGGGUGUAACUACAAGGACAUGUUUAUUCUCAGCCUUAGCCAUACCUGUAUUAGAGGUGGGGCUUUGGGUGGACAAGAACCCUUUAAAUGUUAAAAUGGUUUAACACCGAAUGAAAUCACAUUGCCACGGGACUCCAGGCACUACCAGUCCUGGAAUUUGUAUUUUUUUAAUUUAUUUUUUCUGGGGUGUGAUUCAACUCUUGGCUCUAGGCAGUCAGCCAGCCCAGAGCAUUCUAGUCUAACAGUAUCAAUAUUAUCCAUAGUUUGGAUGCAACACUGUUGAGAGUGUAACUAUAGCCUGCUUCACUGAACAGAGUACUGGGCCAGGUGAAAACUGAUAGUAACUACUGCACAAUUCUUUUAAUUUGUUCUUUGUCUUCUCUUCUUUUCCAAGAACACACAUAAAUGGUCAUUUAAAGGAACACUAUAGGGUCAGUAACAC